AGUGAACGCUGGCGGUAGGCCUAACACAUGCAAGUCGAACGGCAGCACAGUAAGAGCUUGCUCUUACGGGUGGCGAGUGGCGGACGGGUGAGGAAUACAUCGGAAUCUACUUUUUCGUGGGGGAUAACGUAGGGAAACUUACGCUAAUACCGCAUACGACCUACGGUUGAAAGCAGGGGAUCUUCGGACCUUGCGCGAUUGAAUGCGCCGAUGUCGGAUUAGCUAGUUGGCGGGGUAAAGGCCCACCAAGGCGACGAUCCGUAGCUGGUCUGAGAGGAUGAUCAGCCACACUGGAACUGAGACACGGUCCAGACUCCUACGGGAGGCAGCAGUGGGGAAUAUUGGACAAUGGGCGCAAGCCUGAUCCAGCCAUACCGCGUGGGUGAAGAAGGCCUUCGGGUUGUAAAGCCCUUUUGUUGGGAAAGAAAAGCAGCAGGUUAAUACCCCGCUGUUCUGACGGUACCCAAAGAAUAAGCACCGGCUAACUUCGUG
Molecule: ribosomal RNA, 492 nt
Filed under: uncultured bacterium
Lineage: Bacteria
Description: partial 16S ribosomal RNA
Rfam family: Bacterial small subunit ribosomal RNA
Source: RNAcentral